GCUGAGGUGGUGAAAAUGGCAGACACGCAAGUUUCAGGAACUUGUUUUCAUAAAAUGAUAAUGGGGGUUCGAUUCCCCUCCUCAGCA
Molecule: transfer RNA, 87 nt
Filed under: Endomicrobium sp.
Lineage: Bacteria; Pseudomonadati; Elusimicrobiota; Endomicrobiia; Endomicrobiales; Endomicrobiaceae
Description: tRNA-Leu
Rfam family: tRNA
About the family: Transfer RNA (tRNA) molecules are approximately 80 nucleotides in length. Their secondary structure includes four short double-helical elements and three loops (D, anti-codon, and T loops). Further hydrogen bonds mediate the characteristic L-shaped molecular structure. tRNAs have two regions of fundamental functional importance: the anti-codon, which is responsible for specific mRNA codon recognition, and the 3' end, to which the tRNAs corresponding amino acid is attached (by aminoacyl-tRNA synthetases). tRNAs cope with the degeneracy of the genetic code in two manners: having more than one tRNA (with a specific anti-codon) for a particular amino acid; and 'wobble' base-pairing, i.e. permitting non-standard base-pairing at the 3rd anti-codon position.
Source: RNAcentral